This 201-nucleotide long non-coding RNA is filed under the name Elaeis guineensis (African oil palm). Its description in RNAcentral is "long non-coding RNA (EGUI_LNC063670)". Lineage: Eukaryota; Viridiplantae; Streptophyta; Magnoliopsida; Arecales; Arecaceae. The record is from RNAcentral.
GUUUAGCUACAUGAAUAGCUUAUCUUCUACAAAUAAUGAGAUAUAUGUUAGGACAAUAAAUGAUCGAGGAUGAUCUUGGCAUCCUUAGAAACUUUUAAGGGUUGGUUUGGUUGGGGGUAAUCUAGUAUGAAAAAAAAAUCUCAUAUCAGAUUACCAUAUUUGGUAUAAAAGAUAUGAGAAAGAGAGAUGAUAAAAAAAUUG